RNAcentral lists this ribosomal RNA (301 nucleotides) under uncultured bacterium. RNAcentral describes it as "partial 16S ribosomal RNA". It matches the Rfam family "Bacterial small subunit ribosomal RNA", at positions 509 to 807 of the family's 1533-position model. The record is from RNAcentral.
CAGCCGCCACGGGAAUACGAAGGGGGCUAGCGUUGUUCGGAAUUACUGGGCGUAAAGCGCACGUAGGCGGAUUUUUAAGUCAGGGGUGAAAUCCCGAGGCUCAACCUCGGAACUGCCUUUGAUACUGGAGAUCUUGAGUUCGGAAGAGGUUGGUGGAACAGCUGGUGUAGAGGUGAAAUUCGUAGAUAUUAGCUAGAACACCAGUGGCGAAGGCGGCCAACUGGUCCGAUACUGACGCUGAGGUGCGAAAGCGUGGGGAGCAAACAGGAUUAGAUACCCGCGUAGUCCCUGUCUCUUAUAC